Molecule: non-coding RNA, 530 nt
Organism: Manis javanica (Malayan pangolin)
Lineage: Eukaryota; Metazoa; Chordata; Mammalia; Pholidota; Manidae
Source: RefSeq, a predicted model, not a curated record
GGCUACUCCUGUGGAGUCAGGGCCUAGCCGGGCAGGGGCUGAGGGAACCGCCGGGUGUAUCUGCGAGCCAGAGACGCACAACCUGUGGGCAAAAGCAGAUUGUCUGUGAGAGCGUCUGGAAUGCGGAGGAUACAAGGCACCAAAGAAGGGUUUGUGGACUGUCGAACUGGGCUCACUGCCCUGGAAAUGUUGGAACCCUUCAUCAGCUGGCCGGAUGAGCUGUUUUCCUAAUACUCUGCAAGGGCUGUCAGAAGUAAGCACUCCGCAUGGGCUGAAAUGCAGGACGGUUUCUGGGUGCACGGACCCCCCCGGCCCCGAGGCUGCCCCUGCCUCGCAGCACCCUCGGGAUUGGCGCGGAAAAGUCUCGGACGCCACAGACGCUUCUCGGAGCAAGAGAUCGAGUUGGCCCGGGAAGGCCGAUGGCGGCAGGGAAACGGACAACGGACGGGGCGGUGCAGGAGGAGAAAUCACGCGCUCGGCACGGAGACGUGACACGGCCCUGAGCCCAUGCCCCCUCCUCCCGGGUGCGG